RNAcentral lists this transfer RNA (89 nucleotides) under Bacillus cereus. RNAcentral describes it as "tRNA-Leu". It matches the Rfam family "tRNA". Rfam says of the family: Transfer RNA (tRNA) molecules are approximately 80 nucleotides in length. The record is from RNAcentral. Lineage: Bacteria; Bacillati; Bacillota; Bacilli; Caryophanales; Bacillaceae.
ACUGGUGUGGCGGAAUGGCAGACGCUGGAGACUUAAAAUCUCCUGAGACGUAUGUGCUCGUGAAGGUUCAAAUCCUUUCACCAGUAUCA